GUGCUCACUUUGGCAGCACAAAAACUGAAAUUGAAACUAUAGAGAGAAGAUUAUCAUAGCCCCUGCAUGAGGAUGACACACAAAUUUUUCAAGUGUUUCAUAUUUCU
Echinops telfairi (small Madagascar hedgehog) is the source of this 107-nucleotide small nuclear RNA. The record is from RefSeq and is a predicted model, not a curated record. Lineage: Eukaryota; Metazoa; Chordata; Mammalia; Afrosoricida; Tenrecidae.